UCAAACGCCUCUGGGAGACGGUGUGCUGGUGGCACAGGCUAGAAGAGCUCUAAUCCAGUCAGGCUGCAAAAUCCCUCUCUCUGCCUUGAGAGCCAACCCUGGCUUGCAGGCGUCCUCCCUUCCCCGCACAAAGCAGAGCUGAGCUGCUGAGGGAACGUGGCAAUGUAUUUCCAUGCAGCAGGCUGGGGAUCACAUGUAAAGGAGUGUUUGAGAGCUUCACCAGGGGUUACAUAGAGCUAUGAGGCCACAUCGGUGCUGUUGAGUGUGGCUUGGGUGUCUGCUGCCUUUGAACCAGCUUCAGACGGACGUGGGUCUUGAGCGGCAGCAGGGAGACGGUGUUGCUUGGAGCGCGGCUGGAGCUGCUCUGUGACCUGAGGAGGAAGGUGAAUGCAUCUUCUGCUCUGUCCGUGUGCCAAAGUGCCAUGCGCUAAUGGAGACAGAAAAUAGCUCUGUCUGGAGAGAGCUUCUGAAGGAGUCUCACAUGGACACCUUGGGUCUACAGUCCCAGGUCUUGUCAUUGUCCUUUGGACCAAAUGGUGGUAAGAAGUACCUCAUAACUAAUGCACUUUGGAGCCUGUUGGGAUGGAUGAGGCUAGCAUUGGAUGAAGUCACUAUCUGUUAGUGAGCUAUGGACCAGGUUAUGAUGAUACUGGAUUGGUUUUACAAGAGGAUAUUAUUACCCAGUACUGAGAAACUUAGUUUCAUGCUGAAAAAGCAGUUCAACCCUCACCAAGAAGUCACUAACCAAUGUUAGCCGUAACAGUAACUAGUAAUUGUAUUUGUGAAUGAAUCAAAAAGAUUUGAGUCAUUCUUGU
Molecule: long non-coding RNA, 815 nt
Filed under: Apteryx rowi (Okarito brown kiwi)
Lineage: Eukaryota; Metazoa; Chordata; Aves; Apterygiformes; Apterygidae
Description: lncRNA (ENSARWG00000017570.1)
Source: RNAcentral